GUGCCAGCAGCCGCGGUAAUACGUAGGGUCCAAGCGUUAAUCGGAAUUACUGGGCGUAAAGCGUGCGCAGGCGGUUGUGCAAGACCGAUGUGAAAUCCCCGGGCUUAGCCUGGGAAUUGCAUUGGUGACUGCACGGCUAGAGUGUGUCAGAGGGGGGUAGAAUUCCACGUGUAGCAGUGAAAUGCGUAGAGAUGUGGAGGAAUACCGAUGGCGAAGGCAGCCCCCUGGGAUAACACUGACGCUCAUGCACGAAAGCGUGGGGAGCAAACAGGAUUAGAUACCCUGGUAGUCCACGCCCUAAACGAUGAACACUAGUCGUCGGAAUGCUAGUCAUUUCGGUGAUGCACUUAACAGAUUAAGUGUUCCGCCUGGGGAGUACGGUCGCAAGAUUAAAACUCAAAGGAAUUGACGG
This 412-nucleotide ribosomal RNA is filed under the name uncultured bacterium. RNAcentral describes it as "bacterial SSU rRNA". It matches the Rfam family "Bacterial small subunit ribosomal RNA", at positions 505 to 916 of the family's 1533-position model. The record is from RNAcentral.